CCUACGGGGGGCAGCAGUGGGGAAUAUUGCACAAUGGGCGAAAGCCUGAUGCAGCAACGCCGCGUGAGGGAUGACGGCCUUCGGGUUGUAAACCUCUUUUAGUAGGGAAGCGGUACCUGCAGAAAAAGCACCGGCUAACUACGUGCCAGCAGCCGCGGUAAUACGUAGGGUGCAAGCGUUGUCCGGAAUUAUUGGGCGUAAAGAGCUCGUAGGCGGCUUGUCGCGUCUGCCGUGAAAACCCAGGGCUCAACCCUGGGCGUGCGGUGGGUACGGGCAGGCUAGAGUGCGGUAGGGGAGAUUGGAAUUCCUGGUGUAGCGGUGGAAUGCGCAGAUAUCAGGAGGAACACCGAUGGCGAAGGCAGAUCUCUGGGCGUACUGACGCUGAGGAGCGAAAGCAUGGGGAGCGAACAGGAUUAGAUACCCUUGUAGUC
Molecule: ribosomal RNA, 431 nt
Filed under: uncultured bacterium
Lineage: Bacteria
Description: partial 16S ribosomal RNA
Rfam family: Bacterial small subunit ribosomal RNA
Source: RNAcentral